AGAUAUAGCAGUUGUUUUUAUUUGUUUAAGAAUAAAUUCAAAAUUCAGAAUUAUAAUUGUAUACUCUUAUAAGAGAAAACACAAUCAGAUUCAUUUUAUAUAAAAUAUAUUGUGCUAAUUUAUACACUUUUUGAUCCCUAAUAAUAAAUACAACUCUGUUAGAUGCCUUAAAAGAAAUCUUUACAUUGCUUAGAGAACGUUAAAUAUCAAUUGUGUAUUUAAAUUUUCUACUUAUAUGACAGUAUGCUAUUUUUCCUUAACUUUGGGUAAAUAAUUUUAUGGUGUGAUUAAACCGAUCUGACAUUUUGAAAAAGGGCAUGUUUUUUAAUGAAAUAUAAAAGAGUUGUAAUUUUAGUUAUUCACUGUUGCACAAACCUACUUUUUUGGCUUCAUUUGCAAAAGGUUGUUGGAUAACCUUUAUCUUUUACCACUAACUUCUUACUCUGAUCCAAAAUAUUUGGCUUUUAAAAUUCUCCUUAUUUCAUUAUUUGUCUUCAUAUUUAAAAUAUCUUCUGUGAUAUUUCACUUCUAAUUUUUUAAUAUUUUUACAUAAAAAGAGAUGAAUACUGAUAUCCCUGAUUUUUAAGAGAGGAUUUUAAUUUGGAAAUAAACAUGCGAUAAUAUGAUUUUAAAAUGCUAAAGUGGAGCUCUAGCAAUUCAACUGAAAAUAGCAUUAUGAAUAAACUAUACUGUGGCAACUCUUUAACAUAAUAAAGGAGGACAUCAACAGAGCAGAAAAUUGAUGAAUUUUGGAAUAUAUGAAGCAUGUUGUAUCAAAUUGCCAGAGAAAGUAAUGAUCUUCUGUUACUGAACUUAGGUCACAAAGCCUACUGCCUGCUAAUCGGCAAGUGGACCUGUUUCUCUAACAAUGGCCCGAAACUUCACAACAUCAAAGGAGAAAUCAUUGCCAGCAAAAGCAUUUCCGGGUAGUAGGA
RNAcentral lists this long non-coding RNA (935 nucleotides) under Homo sapiens (human). RNAcentral's name for it is "non-protein coding lnc-SPATA31A6-11:1". Lineage: Eukaryota; Metazoa; Chordata; Mammalia; Primates; Hominidae. The record is from RNAcentral.